GGGGGUGUAGUUUACUUGGUAAAACAUAUGCUUUGCACGCAUAAGUAAGUGGUUCAAAUCCGCUCAUCUCCA
This 72-nucleotide transfer RNA is filed under the name Gloeochaete wittrockiana. RNAcentral describes it as "tRNA-Ala". It matches the Rfam family "tRNA". From Rfam's summary of the family: Transfer RNA (tRNA) molecules are approximately 80 nucleotides in length. Their secondary structure includes four short double-helical elements and three loops (D, anti-codon, and T loops). Further hydrogen bonds mediate the characteristic L-shaped molecular structure. tRNAs have two regions of fundamental functional importance: the anti-codon, which is responsible for specific mRNA codon recognition, and the 3' end, to which the tRNAs corresponding amino acid is attached (by aminoacyl-tRNA synthetases). tRNAs cope with the degeneracy of the genetic code in two manners: having more than one tRNA (with a specific anti-codon) for a particular amino acid; and 'wobble' base-pairing, i.e. permitting non-standard base-pairing at the 3rd anti-codon position. Lineage: Eukaryota; Glaucocystophyceae; Gloeochaetales; Gloeochaetaceae. The record is from RNAcentral.